AAUGUGUUGUGUAGUGGUAAAGCGUUUGACUCCUACACAAGAAGUCCCGGGUUCGAUUCCCAGCCUCGGUG
Molecule: transfer RNA, 71 nt
Filed under: Anguilla anguilla (European eel)
Lineage: Eukaryota; Metazoa; Chordata; Actinopteri; Anguilliformes; Anguillidae
Description: tRNA-OTHER
Source: RNAcentral